UACGAAGGGGGCUAGCGCUGCUCGGAAGCACUGGGCGUAAAGGGGGCGUAGGCGGGUCUUUAAGUCAGGGGGGAAAUCCUGGAGCUCAACCCCAGAACUGCCUUUGAUACUGAGGAUCUUGAGUUCGGGAGAGGUGAGUGGAACUGCGAGUGUAGAGGUGAAAUUCGUAGAUAUUCGCAAGAACACCAGUGGCGAAGGCGGCUCACUGGCCCGAUACUGACGCUGAGGCACGAAAGCGUGGGGAGCAAACAGG
Molecule: ribosomal RNA, 253 nt
Filed under: uncultured bacterium
Lineage: Bacteria
Description: partial 16S ribosomal RNA
Rfam family: Bacterial small subunit ribosomal RNA
Source: RNAcentral